This 255-nucleotide ribosomal RNA is filed under the name uncultured bacterium. Its description in RNAcentral is "partial 16S ribosomal RNA". It matches the Rfam family "Bacterial small subunit ribosomal RNA", at positions 524 to 776 of the family's 1533-position model. The record is from RNAcentral.
UACGUAGGGUGCGAGCGUUUGUCCGGAAUUACUGGGCGUAAAGAGCUCGUAGGUGGUUUGUCGCGUUUGUUCGUGAAAACCGGGGGCUUAACCCUCGGCGUGCGGGCGAUACGGGCAGACUUGAGUACUGCAGGGGAGACUGGAAUUCCUGGUGUAGCGGUGGAAUGCGCAGAUAUCAGGAGGAACACCGGUGGCGAAGGCGGGUCUCUGGGCAGUAACUGACGCUGAGGAGCGAAAGCGUGGGGAGCGAACAGG